RNAcentral lists this transfer RNA (72 nucleotides) under Rickettsiales bacterium. RNAcentral describes it as "tRNA-Lys". It matches the Rfam family "tRNA". From Rfam's summary of the family: Transfer RNA (tRNA) molecules are approximately 80 nucleotides in length. Their secondary structure includes four short double-helical elements and three loops (D, anti-codon, and T loops). Further hydrogen bonds mediate the characteristic L-shaped molecular structure. tRNAs have two regions of fundamental functional importance: the anti-codon, which is responsible for specific mRNA codon recognition, and the 3' end, to which the tRNAs corresponding amino acid is attached (by aminoacyl-tRNA synthetases). tRNAs cope with the degeneracy of the genetic code in two manners: having more than one tRNA (with a specific anti-codon) for a particular amino acid; and 'wobble' base-pairing, i.e. permitting non-standard base-pairing at the 3rd anti-codon position. The record is from RNAcentral. Lineage: Bacteria; Pseudomonadati; Pseudomonadota; Alphaproteobacteria; Rickettsiales.
GAGGUCUUAGUUUAACGGUAAAACAUGUGACUUUUAAUCGCUAUAAUGUGGGUUCAAAUCCCACAGGCCUUA